AUUGAACGCUGGCGGCAGGCCUAACACAUGCAAGUCGAGCGGAUGAAGGGAGCUUGCUCCUGGAUUCAGCGGCGGACGGGUGAGUAAUGCCUAGGAAUCUGCCUGGUAGUGGGGGAUAACGUCUGGAAACGGGCGCUAAUACCGCAUACGUCCUGAGGGAGAAAGUGGGGGAUCUUCGGACCUUACGCUAUCAGAUGAGCCUAGGUCGGAUUAGCUAGUUGGUGGGGUAAAGGCCUACCAAGGCGACGAUCCGUAACUGGACUGAGAGGAUGAUCAGUCACACUGGAACUGAGACACGGUCCAGACUCCUACGGGAGGCAGCAGUGGGGAAUAUUGGACAAUGGGCGAAAGCCUGGUCCAACCGUGCCGCGUGUGUGAAGAAGGUCUUCGGAUUGGAAAGCACUUUAAGUUGGGAGGAAGGGCAGUAAGUUAAUACCUUGCUGUUUUGACGUUACCAACAGAAUAAGCACCGGCUAACUUCGUG
RNAcentral lists this ribosomal RNA (484 nucleotides) under uncultured bacterium. RNAcentral describes it as "partial 16S ribosomal RNA". It matches the Rfam family "Bacterial small subunit ribosomal RNA", at positions 30 to 507 of the family's 1533-position model. The record is from RNAcentral.